Molecule: transfer RNA, 73 nt
Filed under: Sphaerodactylus townsendi
Lineage: Eukaryota; Metazoa; Chordata; Lepidosauria; Squamata; Sphaerodactylidae
Description: tRNA-Ser
Source: RNAcentral
GUCUCUGUGGAACAAUCAACAGAGCAUUCAGCUGCUGACAGAAAGGUUGGUGGUUUGAGCCCACCCAGGAACA